RNAcentral lists this ribosomal RNA (258 nucleotides) under uncultured bacterium. Its description in RNAcentral is "partial small subunit ribosomal RNA". It matches the Rfam family "Bacterial small subunit ribosomal RNA", at positions 27 to 288 of the family's 1533-position model. The record is from RNAcentral.
GGGACGAACGCUGGCGGCGUGCUUAACACAUGCAAGUCGAGCGGAAAGGCCCUUCGGGGUACUCGAGCGGCGAACGGGUGAGUAACACGUGAGCAACCUGCCCCUGGCUCUGGGAUAGCCUCCGGAAACGGGGAUUAAUACCGGACAUUCACUUCCUUCCGCAUGGUUGGUGGUGGAAAGUUUUUCGGCCGGGGAGGGGCUCGCGGUCUAUCAGCUUGUUGGCGGGGUAACGGCCCACCAAGGCGACGACGGAUAGCC